CCUACGGGAGGCAGCAGUGGGGAAUAUUGGACAAUGGGCGAAAGCCUGAUCCAGCAAUGCCGCGUGAGUGAAGAAGGCCUUCGGGUUGUAAAGCUCUUUUACCCGGGAAGAUAAUGACUGUACCGGGAGAAUAAGCCCCGGCUAACUCCGUGCCAGCAGCCGCGGUAAUACGGAGGGGGCUAGCGUUGUUCGGAAUUACUGGGCGUAAAGCGUACGUAGGCGGCUUUGUAAGUCAGAGGUGAAAGCCCACGACUCAAUCGUGGAACUGCCUUUGAGACUGCUUCGCUUGAAGAUGGGAGAGGUUAGUGGAAUUCCGAGUGUAGAGGUGAAAUUCGUAGAUAUUCGGAAGAACACCAGUGGCGAAGGCGGCUAACUGGACCAUUCUUGACGCUGAGGUACGAAAGCGUGGGGAGCAAACAGGAUUAGAUACCCUGGUAGUCCACGCCGUAAACGAUGAUAACUAGCUGUCGGGGCUCUUGGAGCUUCGGUGGCGCAGCUACGACAUUAAGUUAUCCGUCCGUCGGGUAGGUACGGCCGCGAACGGUUAAACGUAACGAAAGGAAGUAGACGGCGUGAGACGUCGCCGACGGACGACGACGAGGGAGUAG
Molecule: ribosomal RNA, 608 nt
Filed under: uncultured bacterium
Lineage: Bacteria
Description: bacterial SSU rRNA
Rfam family: Bacterial small subunit ribosomal RNA (bases 1-518)
Source: RNAcentral